RNAcentral lists this long non-coding RNA (220 nucleotides) under Volvox carteri. Its description in RNAcentral is "long non-coding RNA (VCAR_LNC003452)". Lineage: Eukaryota; Viridiplantae; Chlorophyta; Chlorophyceae; Chlamydomonadales; Volvocaceae. The record is from RNAcentral.
UCGUAACACACAAACACGCACUGCUAUGGACUCGGCAAUGCGGAGCAAUGGCCGUACAACACGCCCAUAAGCUAUCGUAUGAUUGCUGAAAGGACGACGUCAUUGUCAAUGCAAUGUCGCAUGGUUUGUCUUCCAACCGCCCUCCCUGAAACGCAGGACCGGCCAUGAUUGCAACUGACUACACCUGCAUCUGAACAUGUGUGGAGCGGGAGGCCCUUAU